UCCGUUCCGAGUGGCCCGGCGGGGUGCGGAGCGUCGGCCUUGCGCGCGCUGAGUGUCUAUUGGCUGGACUUCGCACCGAGCGAGGCCACGCCCCCUGGAGCUUUUCUCCGGAGCAGCCGACCGACCGGAGACUGCGCAGGAGGCUAUCAUGAAGAAGCUUCGGGCGUCUGUAAGGAGUCACAAAAAGCCACCAGCCACCCACAAGAGAAGGGAAAAGUGUGCCGUUACCAGCAGCCAGGCCAGGCCUUCCGGCCUUGACGGCCUGGCCAAGCAGAAGAGAGAGGAGUUACUGCAGGCCCCCAUCUCCCCAUAUCAUCUCUUCAGCGACAUGGCCGAUGUCACAGCUUUCCGAAGAGAUUUGCUCAGCUGGUAUGACCAAGAGAAGCGUGACCUCCCUUGGAGAAAAUGGGCAAAAGAAGAGACCAACUUGGACAGGAGGGCCUAUGCUGUAUGGGUGUCAGAGGUUAUGCUGCAGCAGACCCAAGUUGCCACAGUGAUCGACUAUUAUACCCGAUGGAUGCAGAAGUGGCCGACACUUCAAGACCUGGCCACUGCUUCCCUGGAGGAGGUGAACCAGCUCUGGUCUGGUCUGGGCUACUAUUCUCGAGGCCGUCGGCUACAAGAAGGAGCUAGGAAGGUGGUAGAGGAGCUAGGAAGCCAUAUGCCACGUACAGCAGAGACCCUACAGCAGCUCCUGCCUGGUGUGGGGCGGUACACGGCUGGAGCCAUUGCUUCCAUUGCCUUUGACCAGGUAACCGGUGUGGUGGAUGGGAACGUUUUACGGGUGCUGUGCCGUGUCCGUGCCAUUGGUGCUGAUCCCACCAGCACCCUCGUCUCUCAUCACCUCUGGAACUUAGCUCAGCGGCUAGUGGACCCAGCCCGGCCUGGGGACUUCAAUCAAGCAGCCAUGGAGUUGGGGGCUACAGUGUGCACGCCACAGCGUCCUCUCUGCAGCCAUUGCCCUGUGCAGAGUUUGUGCCGGGCACACCAGAGGGUGGAGCGGGAACAGCUCUCAGCCUUGCCAGGCAGUCCUGACAUAGAGGAGUGUGUUCUCAACACUAGACAGUGCCAGCUUUGCCUCCCUUCCACAAACCCCUGGGACCCCACCAUGGGAGUGACCAACUUUCCUCGAAAGGCCAGCCGCAGGCCUCCCAGGGAGGAGUACUCUGCCACCUGUGUUGUGGAGCAGCCCGGAGCCAUUGGGGGUCCCCUCAUCCUCCUGGUGCAAAGGCCUAACUCAGGUCUGCUGGCAGGACUGUGGGAGUUUCCAUCCGUCACCUUGGAGCCCUCAGAACAGCAUCAGCACAAAGCCCUUCUGCAGGAACUGCAGCACUGGUCUGGGCCCCUCCCUGCCACUCAUCUCCAGCACCUGGGGGAGGUGAUCCACAUCUUCUCUCACAUCAAACUGACCUAUCAAGUAUACAGUCUGGCUCUAGGACAGACCCCAGCAAGCACUGCACCUCCAGGCGCACGAUGGUUGACCUGGGAGGAAUUCCGCAAUGCAGCUGUGUCCACUGCCAUGAAAAAGGUGUUCCGCAUGUAUGAGGACCAUCGGCGAGAGACCUGCAAGGUUUUGCUGGAGGCAAAAGGACAGUUUGUAAACUAGGGACUAAUUGUACAGCGUGAACUACAGGGUAGGGAACAAGAACAUUGGAGCGCGCUUGCUGUCAAAGGGUUCCAAAAGGUCCCGGGUGUGUACUCCGUCAAGCCGGAAAAAACCCAGCCGGGGACAGCAAGUCCUAGAUCAUUUUUUUCAGCGUCAUAGCCCCACAGACA
Molecule: RNA transcript, 1776 nt
Organism: Mastomys coucha (southern multimammate mouse)
Lineage: Eukaryota; Metazoa; Chordata; Mammalia; Rodentia; Muridae
Gene: Mutyh
Gene name: mutY DNA glycosylase
Exons: 17
Source: RefSeq, a predicted model, not a curated record